CGCACGGGUGCGUAACGCGUAUGCAAUCUGCCUUUCACAGAGGGAUAGCCCAGAGAAAUUUGGAUUAAUACCUCAUAGCAUCAUGACCCGGCAUCGGGAUAUGAUUAAAGUCACAACGGUGAAAGAUGAGCAUGCGUCCCAUUAGCUAGUUGGUAAGGUAACGGCUUACCAAGGCUACGAUGGGUAGGGGUCCUGAGAGGGAGAUCCCCCACACUGGUACUGAGACACGGACCAGACUCCUACGGGAGGCAGCAGUGAGGAAUAUUGGUCAAUGGGCGCAAGCCUGAACCAGCCAUGCCGCGUGCAGGAUGACGGUCCUAUGGAUUGUAAACUGCUUUUGUACGGGAAGAAACACUGAUUCGUGAAUCAGCUUGACGGUACCGUAAGAAUAAGGAUCGGCUAACUCCGUGCCAGCAGCCGCGGUAAUACGGAGGAUCCAAGCGUUAUCCGGAAUCAUUGGGUUUAAAGGGUCUGUAGGCGGUCUUGUAAGUCAGUGGUGAAAGCCCAUCGCUCAACGGUGGAACGGCCAUUGAUACUGCAGGACUUGAAUUAUUGGGAAGUAACUAGAAUAUGUAGUGUAGCGGUGAAAUGCUUAGAGAUUACAUGGAAUACCAAUUGCGAAGGCAGGUUACUACCAAUUGAUUGACGCUGAUGGACGAAAGCGUGGGUAGCGAACAGGAUUAGAUACCCUGGUAGUCCACGCCGUAAACGAUGGAUACUAGCUGUUGGGCGCAAGUUCAGUG
This 743-nucleotide ribosomal RNA is filed under the name Flavobacterium anhuiense. Its description in RNAcentral is "bacterial SSU rRNA". It matches the Rfam family "Bacterial small subunit ribosomal RNA", at positions 99 to 845 of the family's 1533-position model. The record is from RNAcentral. Lineage: Bacteria; Pseudomonadati; Bacteroidota; Flavobacteriia; Flavobacteriales; Flavobacteriaceae.